RNAcentral lists this ribosomal RNA (497 nucleotides) under uncultured bacterium. RNAcentral describes it as "partial 16S ribosomal RNA". It matches the Rfam family "Bacterial small subunit ribosomal RNA", at positions 28 to 507 of the family's 1533-position model. The record is from RNAcentral.
GAUGAACGCUGGCGGCGUGCCUAAUACAUGCAAGUCGAGCGAACAGACGAGGAGCUUGCUCCUCUGACGUUAGCGGCGGACGGGUGAGUAACACGUGGAUAACCUACCUAUAAGACUGGGAUAACUUCGGGAAACCGGAGCUAAUACCGGAUAAUAUAUUGAACCGCAUGGUUCAAUAGUGAAAGACGGUUUUGCUGUCACUUAUAGAUGGAUCCGCGCCGCAUUAGCUAGUUGGUAAGGUAACGGCUUAUCAAGGCAACGAUGCGUAGCCGACCUGAGAGGGUGAUCGGCCACACUGGAACUGAGACACGGUCCAGACUCCUACGGGAGGCAGCAGUAGGGAAUCUUCCGCAGUGGGCGAAAGCCUGACGGAGCAACGCCGCGUGAGUGAUGAAGGUCUUCGGAUCGUAAAACUCUGUUAUUAGGGAAGAACAAAUGUGUAAGUAACUAUGCACGUCUUGACGGUACCUAAUCAGGAAGCCACGGCUAACUACGUG